GUGCUCACUUCAGCAGAACAUAAACUAAAAUUAGAACAAUACAGAGAUUUUAUGCGCAAGGAUGAAAGGCAAAUUCAUGAUGCAAUCCAAAUUUUU
Molecule: small nuclear RNA, 96 nt
Organism: Sarcophilus harrisii (Tasmanian devil)
Lineage: Eukaryota; Metazoa; Chordata; Mammalia; Dasyuromorphia; Dasyuridae
Source: Ensembl